RNAcentral lists this ribosomal RNA (253 nucleotides) under uncultured bacterium. RNAcentral's name for it is "partial 16S ribosomal RNA". It matches the Rfam family "Bacterial small subunit ribosomal RNA", at positions 524 to 776 of the family's 1533-position model. The record is from RNAcentral.
UACGUAGGGGGCUAGCGUUGUCCGGAAUCAUUGGGCGUAAAGAGCGUGUAGGCGGCUCGGUAAGUCUGCUGUGAAAGUCCAGGGCUCAACCCUGGGAUGCCGGUGGAUACUGUCGAGCUCGAGUCCGGAAGAGGCGAGUGGAAUUCCUGGUGUAGCGGUGAAAUGCGCAGAUAUCAGGAGGAACACCAAUGGCGAAGGCAGCUCGCUGGGACGUGACUGACGCUGAGACGCGAAAGCGUGGGGAGCGAACAGG